GACGAACGCUGGCGGCGUGCCUAAUACAUGCAAGUAGAACGCUGAAGGAGGAUCUUGCUCUUCUGGAUGAGUUGCGCACGGGUGAGUAUCGCGUAGGUAACCUGCCUGGUAGCGCGGGAUAACUAUUGGAAACGAUAGCUAAUACCGCAUAACACUAGAUGUUGCAUGACAUUUACUUAAAAGGUGCACUUUCAUCACUACCAGAUGGACCUGCGUUGUAUUAGCUAGUUGGUGGGGUAACGGCUCACCAAGGCGACGAUACAUAGCCGACCUGAGAGGGUGAUCGGCCACACUGGGACUGAGACACGGCCCAGACUCCUACGGGAGGCAGCAGUAGGGAAUCUUCGGCAAUGGACGGAAGUCUGACCGAGCAACGCCGCGUGAGUGAAGAAGGUUUUCGGAUCGUAAAGCUCUGUUGUAAGAGAAGAACGAGUGUGAGAGUGGAAAGUUCACACUGUGACGGUAUCUAACCAGAAAGGGACGGCUAACUACGUG
RNAcentral lists this ribosomal RNA (495 nucleotides) under uncultured bacterium. RNAcentral's name for it is "partial 16S ribosomal RNA". It matches the Rfam family "Bacterial small subunit ribosomal RNA", at positions 28 to 507 of the family's 1533-position model. The record is from RNAcentral.